UAUGCCUACGGGACGCAGCAGUGGGGAAUAUUGCACAAUGGGCGCAAGCCUGAUGCAGCGACGCCGCGUGCGGGAUGGAGGCCUUCGGGUUGUAAACCGCUUUUGUUCAAGGGCAAGGCACGGUCUUUGGCCGUGUUGAGUGGAUUGUUCGAAUAAGCACCGGCUAACUACGUGCCAGCAGCCGCGGUAAUACGUAGGGUGCAAGCGUUAUCCGGAUUUAUUGGGCGUAAAGGGCUCGUAGGCGGUUCGGCGCGUCCGGGGUGAAAGUCCAUCGCUUAACGGGGGGUCCGCGCCGGGUACGGGAG
This 305-nucleotide ribosomal RNA is filed under the name uncultured bacterium. RNAcentral's name for it is "bacterial SSU rRNA". It matches the Rfam family "Bacterial small subunit ribosomal RNA", at positions 334 to 638 of the family's 1533-position model. The record is from RNAcentral.